This 215-nucleotide long non-coding RNA is filed under the name Mytilus galloprovincialis (Mediterranean mussel). The record is from RNAcentral. Lineage: Eukaryota; Metazoa; Mollusca; Bivalvia; Mytilida; Mytilidae.
CGGUGGUUUUCUGCUAUGAGAUCGGGUUGUUGUCACUUUUCGCUUAUUGCGCCCAUUUCAAUGUACAUGUUAGGAUUGGUAUUCACCCCAUGUACACACUGAUACUUACUUUUGUCUUCCCUGAUACUUGGUAUAACCACCGAGAGAUAUACAGUUUGUAACCUACAGGUAUUCGAUACAAAGCAUAUACAAAUAUUUCCCCUUUAGUAACUUCU